This 6422-nucleotide long non-coding RNA is filed under the name Oryza brachyantha (malo sina). RNAcentral's name for it is "long non-coding RNA (OBRA_LNC002244)". Lineage: Eukaryota; Viridiplantae; Streptophyta; Magnoliopsida; Poales; Poaceae. The record is from RNAcentral.
ACUAUCUAUGACAUCAACAUUUGUAGUUUCAUCAUUUCCAGGAGUACCAAUACAUGGACUUGUCUGAGUGUUUGUUUUUUUGUCUUUUGUUGGAACAUGCCUUCUGUUUUUUUUUCUUUAGCUGAUCAUGCCACUUGGGCUGUGUCCGCAAUAGACUCCAACAAUGUAUGAAUUGGAAAGCCCUCUUCUCUUCGCUUUUAAACAAAGCCAUCGCCUGCGAGAGCUACAGAAGUGUGGUUAGAUAAAUACAGUAGCAAACGUGUAGAAGACAAGUAAAAGAUGCUAAGGCCGCGUUCGGCAGCCCCCUAUUAGUUAACUUAUCUCCCUCGUUUUCCACGCGCACGCUUCCCGAACUGCUAAACGGUGUAUUUUUUGCAAAAAUUUUCUAUAGGAAAGUUGUUUUAAAAAAUCAUAUUAAUCUAUUUUAUAUUUUUUAAUAAUUAACAAUUAAUUAAUCAUGUACUAAUCUAUUACUAUGUUUUCCAUGCCAGGGCAUAAGUUAACUUAUACCCCAAUGUGGAAUACCUCUACUAGGGGUAUCAUAUCCGUAGACUAUACAUAUACGUAUGGUAGGGGUUACCGAAUAGGAAGGAAAUUAUAUCUGUAUGGUAUCAACCGAAGUUUUGUAACUGUAGGAUUUCAUGCCGCAUGUACCGGAUCUGAGUUGUAACCGAAUUAGGAUAGAUCUUAGUCUCACAGAUUAGGACUAUAUCUGUAAGCUCUAUCCCCCACUAUAUAAGGGGAACAGGGGCACCCCUCAUGGGGACAGCCAGAGACACAACACAUUUAGAUCGGCUAUCUUCUAGUUGAUCUGUCCACAAUAAAAUACAAUCGCCAAGCAGGAGUAGGGUAUUAUCUCACUAGUCAAGUUCCUAAACCUAUGUAACCCUGUGUCUUUAUCCUAACCAUCGAUAUUUACGUCUCGCUAGCCACCCCAUAUAUAUUGCCGACAUCCAAAUCAUCGACAGUUGGCGCGCCAGGUAGGGGAAGCUACUCCGAGGUCCUCGACGAGAUCAAUGGACCCAAAGUCGAAGAUCAUGAAGACAAAGUUUGUCCUGGGCAAACCUUCAAGUUUGGCAGCAUUAGAUUCCUCGCCGGUCAGGGUGGUGCGCUCUCCUACACGUGUUCAGAUUCAUCUGGGCCUGAGGACGAGGUGUGUUGCUUUGAAUCAAAGAACUUAGCACUAUUUCAAGAUGAGAUCCAAUCUAGAUCUCACCACACCAAGCUGUAGUCUCCUGAGUCGGCACCUCCGCUGCUCGGGGUCGAGGUCAAUGCAAAGUCGAUUGCUCUAGUCACCGCAUCAGAUACCUACAAUAGCUUGGGAAGCUUCGUUCCCCCUAGAGAGGUCUUUACUAUAACUCAGGCAACAACAAACGAGGCUAAGAAGAAGCGCCAAGAGGAACAAGCAGCCAAGCUGGCCGAAGAACAGCGGCAGGAAGACGAAUGCCAUCGACUUGAAGAUGAAACAAGACGCCAACAGGAGAAUCAAUCUCGCGAACAACUAAGGAGCCAGUCGUGCAAAUUGCAGCGCGACCUACUCCACACUCAGAUUGAGGGGCAUGCAGUUUUUAAGACCCCUCAACAAAACGUUCAAGCGGCGGUGGAUCUACUCGGCGACGUCGUUCAACAGCUACCUCAACAAGAUCUACCGCUAGUUGAAACCAUCAACAAGAUCAAGGCAAUGGUGACAACAGCUACGAUCCAACACUCAUUGCAAUGCAACUCGGGAACACCACUGGUACGGUCGGAGGCUCAGUCAUCUAGAUCACCCCGAUCUAGACCAAACGUUUCCAAACGACCAUCCGGAUCUCGGCCACCGACUGAUAAUAGAUCACGUCGAACAUCUCCCGACCCAGACCAAAGGAAAGACACUGCCAGUAAGCAACACGACCUCAAUGACGAAAUCCGCCGAUUGGAUAAACGACGCCAAGACCUUGAGGCUAAGAAGAAGCAUAUCUACCAGGAAGAUAGCUUCAACCUCUGCCGAAAGAUCGAACGCCAACAUCAAGCCCGCCAGGAAGGUCGUCGUCGGGACAGUGAACAUCGGAGCCAUAGCCCGAGAGCUCUGACACCGACAUGAUCGACGGUGUAGCGGCCUUCACCAAAAACAUGAGCCAGCUUACUUGGCUGACUAGUUUCAAGCCGAUUGGUAUCAAGAAGUAUGACGGUUCCACCGACCCCAAGGCUUGGCUAACGGUGUACACCAUGGCUAUCCGAGCAGCCGGCGGUGACACUAAAGCAAUGGGCAACUAUUUACCAAUCGCUCUAGAUGAUUCGGCUAGACAUUGGUUGUUGGGACUCCUCAAACAGUCUAUUGACUCCUGGGCAGAACUCCGUAGUCGGUUCAUAGCCAACUUUCAGGGUACUUACGACAGGCCACGACCCAAAUACGACGUAUACCAGGUCCAACAGAAGAAGAACGAAUCUCUACGGGCCUACAUCAAACGGUUCUCUGAGGUUCGCAAUUCCAUCCCCGACAUCAAGGAUGAUAUGGUCAUCACCGCCUUUUACAAAGGCGUGAAAGAUGAGUCAUUUAUCACGAAAUUCACUCGCAAAGAGCCAACUAUAGUCAAGGAUCUCUUUGACAUGGCUAACUCCUAUGCCGCAUUAGCAGAUGCAGUUUAUGCAUCUCGUCCCGAUCGGCACGACGACUCGGACGACAUGAACAAGGAUAAUUAAAUAUAAUGCUCAUUAGCUCUUCAUCUAUUUAUUGAAUCGACGUCUGGAUGCGGUUAUACGACUUCAUGGCUACACCCUACUUACUGUACCGAACCGGGUAAACGACGCUACGCUCCGCGCUGGCUAAGUCCGCCCGGGGGCUAUCGGGAUGGGCAUACUCUGCGAAGCCAACUGAUCUCACGACUAAGAAACAUACAACAGUAAAAGACUACUAGCAAACAGAUUAACACCAAACAUGAUUGAAGUCCGCUGAGUGGUCAAGAUGAAACGAGUGGUCAUCAAUGACCCUAGUUUCCAACAGAAGGUCGUAGGUUCUUCACCAACUUCGUCACCGCCGAGAUCAUCGCGGUCGAAUGAAGAUCUCUCUGCCAAGUCGGUCACACCCGACUUCAUCAUCGCCGAGUGGUGAUCCCAUCACUACACUGAAUGCAUGCACCGCCACCGUGUUGGAUGCAUCAACUUCGUCGCCGCUAAGUGGUAAUCUAUUUACCAUGUCGGCCACGUCUCUCUUCGACAUCAGGAUUGUCACCACCAAAUCGUGAUCGCAUCCGUAUGUUGACCGUCAUCAUCGCCAUCAACGAGAGAAUUUGUGGAAUAUCGAACAACUAAGUCCCUUUCAUACUUAGUACAUUUUCUAAAAAAGUUUCCUCUUUCUCUAUCCUUCGACUGCCCGCGCCGAGUGGUUUUCACCCUUAGCAAGCCAGUCGGGGGGACUACACUGUAUUAUGUCAUACGGUUCUUUUGAAAGUCUGUUGUUUAAAAGCUCUUUUUUGAUCAUGAGAUCAAUAUCGGAAUAAAGCUAACCAAACUUUGCGGCUAUGCCCUACUUACCGUACCAAACCGAGUAAUACGGUACAUUCUGUGCUGGCUAAAUCUACUCGGGGGCUAUCGGGAUGGGUACAUAGCACAAGUUUACACAGCUCGUUUCAGAUUGCAAGAUCUAAAUAAGAAUAAAGACUUAAAGCAAUAGCAAAACAAUUUACAUUACAAAUAAACAAAUGUCUUGCAAAAGACAGGUUACUACUAAUGGCUAUAUUUCCUAUUUGCAGGUCAAAGGUCAGAACUAUGGAGUUGGCACCGGCUUCAGCCUCCUCCACUAGCACCAACACCUUCUCCGAGUCGCAAUUGGCUAUAAAAUCUUCGACGGUGGCUAAAAAGACUACCCAGGGGUAAAGGGACUUCAUUAUGGCGAAGGCUUGACGAGUUGCAAUCAUUGUCAUGUCCCUCACCUCCCCGGCCACGCGCCCGGGUACCUCUCUAAAGCCUCUCAAGGAUUUUAUUGGGUGGCAUGGAGCUGAAACUGGUCACCAUAAGUCUCGAACGACCUGAAGAUCGCCAAGGCUGCUAGAAGCAAACCGGUCACGAGUAGCCUCGACUACUUUAAGUCAGGCCUCGAUAUCGGCUACUACUCCAGGAGUGCUCUAUCGCACCAAAUCUCUAAAAUCGCCGAACUAAAACAGUUCAACUACUCCAAAUCUCCAAAAUCAACUAAGUGUUACUAUAUCCCUCCGUGGGCUUAGCGGACCGAUGCGUAAAACUCGGUGCUGGCAUAGUUGAUACCAUGUUGACGAGAACGUUGCGAGUUUAUGGUUCGCCUAAACGGUGACAUAAGAUUCAUGAUUUCUCACAUUCCGGGAAUCAACCGUGCGCCCAUAUAAUGGGGCUAUAACUGUUUUUACACAGGCACUAUUUGAUAUCAUCCAUGGCACUUAAUUACGCUUUUUAACCUGUGCCUAAACUUUGAGUAAACCUGAAUAUACUCGGUACUAACUACUUGGCUAUAACGGUUAGGCAGUACUGCAUAACCUACCCUACAGGCACAAUGUAAUUAUAAAUUGCAUGUCUGGAGAGACACGGUACAAAAAAACAUCUCCAAACCACUUGGGUUCAAAUCGCUUGGAGAGAGCAACCAGAGCUGGGUACCACUCGAGUACGGAAGCACUCACAACAGUGUUGCUCGAGUCGGAAAACUCGAACUUCAAGAAACAUCUGUUGGGUAACAGUCCAUAGAAGACUCUAUGUUUAAUUGUUACGUAUUUAAGCAUAGAGUCGGGGGCUACACCUAUUCCUUUCUUCCGUUUAGAGCCAUCCACAGCCUCUACAAUCAUCAUAGAGUACUCAGGAUCACUCGGGAAGCACUCAGGGAGUGCCCAGGAAGCACUCGGAUAACGUCAAGCAUACUAUGUGAAGAUAUGCCUGAUGAUCAACAAUCUACACGGAUAAUUUGUGCGGUUGUGUACGACUUCGGGGGCUACUGUGGAAUACCUCUACUAGGGGUAUCCGUAGACUAUACAUAUAUGUAUGGUAUGGGGUUACCGAAUACGAACGUAAUUAUAUCUGUAUGGUAUCAACUGGAGUUUGGUAACUGUAGGAUCGCAUGCCGCAUGUACCGGAUCCGAGUUGUAACCGAAUUAGGAUAGAUCUUAGUCUCAUCAGAUUAGGACUUUAUAUGUAAGCUCCAUCCUCCACUAUAUAAGGGAAACAGGGGCACCCCUCAUGGGAUGGUCAGAGACACGACAUAUUUAGAUCGGCUAUCUAGUUGAUCUGUCCACAAUCAAAUACAAUCGCUAAGUAGGAGUAGGGUAUUAUCUCGCUAGUCGAGAGCUUGAACCUGGGUAACCCUGUGUCUUCAUCAUAACCAUCGAUCUUUACGCCUUGCUAGCCACCCCAUAUAUAUUGCCGACAUCCAAAUCGUCGACACCCAACAACGAACGCGGCCUAAAUGGUUUUGAAUUACCUUAUCCUGUAUAGUGACUCCGCUUUGCCUUCGGCCCUCUAUGAUUUGCUUGGCAAACGGGUGAAUGCUGCUCCUCAGGCUGGCUACUAAAACCAUCCCUUUCAAUGGAGUAGUUGCCCUCAUUCAUCAUAUUAGUGUAGAAUCCUUCUUCCUCCAUUUAUAGCAAUUCUAAAAAGUGAAUGAAAGCAACUAAAUAUUGGGCCUAUCAUCUCAAAAAAAAAUCAAGUAUUGUUCAUAUCAUCUGAAAAAAAAAAUCAAACUAUAACAGAAUUUGCGCAGGUUGAGCCUGAUUAAGACAUAUUUAUUUGGUACGAUGAAUAGCUCCUAUGAUUUGCUUGGCAUCAGAUUUCUAACAUCAUUGAAAGCAAUGACAAACAAUUAAUUUCACUAUUCUCUGAUAAAAGCAAUUAUAAACUCUUUAUUUACAAAUUGAAUAUUUUGAAUAUUUCAUUCAUAAUCCCUAUGGGCUACGCUAGCAGUAGAGGCUAAUAAAUCCCUAUGGGCUGUCGCUAGCAAUAGAGGCUAAUAAACUUUGUUCACAUCAUCAUUUUGUGCUAAGCUUCCUAUAUGACCAAUUAAGUGGGUCAUACCUUUGUGUUGAUGCACCGUGAUACAUUUUUUAGUAUGACCAGUUGCAGCAGGUUCAUCUCUCUCACACAUAUAAAAUCUUGUUUGAACUUUAAACUCCUUAUGACCUUGAUGCACGUUUUAUUGCUUACCCAGGUCAGUGAGUGGAAACAAUGUGCAAGACCAUCUCAACUACCUUAGCAUCGGCAUGCAUGCUGAGUCACUAGGAUCUUACAGAUUAUCACAGGUGACAAUACCCUGUACUACAAGAUGGACAAUGAUGGCGAUAUUAUUUUUUUGAAGCAGCCUGGUUUAUCAGUUGAUCAGUUACAUAGUUCACAGUGAACAAGCAAACUCAUGAGGUUUGGGAUGUAGCUGUUGGACAUACCUGUCGCGAGGAGGACAUGGAGCAGCACUCGGCUGGGAGGGGGAUGCUGGA